AUGUUUUUGGGGUCCAGUCAAUCCUGGAAGCAGUAAGCAGUCUUGGAACUUCCCGUGGACACUUUUCAUAGUGACCUGUAUGGCUCAGGCUCCUGAGCAGCCAGUCAUGGGCCAUAAUGUCCAGGUUGGUAUGCGGUAGAUACUGUGCUUGUACUGGAAGCAAGGAGCUGUUUCAAUGGGGUCCAUGCCUCCAAAAGAAUCAGAUUUAACUGGAGAAGGCAGUUGGAAUAAAAGAAAAUUACAAUGCAGA
RNAcentral lists this long non-coding RNA (250 nucleotides) under Fukomys damarensis (Damara mole-rat). Its description in RNAcentral is "lncRNA (ENSFDAG00000028010.1)". Lineage: Eukaryota; Metazoa; Chordata; Mammalia; Rodentia; Bathyergidae. The record is from RNAcentral.